UACGUAGGGUGCGAGCGUUGUCCGGAAUUAUUGGGCGUAAAGAGCUCGUAGGCGGUGUGUCACGUCGGCCGUGAAAACCUGGGGCUUAACUCUGGGCGUGCGGUCGAUACGGGCAUCACUAGAGUUCGGCAGGGGAGACUGGAAUUCCUGGUGUAGCGGUGAAAUGCGCAGAUAUCAGGAGGAACACCGGUGGCGAAGGCGGGUCUCUGGGCCGAUACUGACGCUGAGGCGCGACAGCGUGGGGAGCAAACAGG
This 254-nucleotide ribosomal RNA is filed under the name uncultured bacterium. RNAcentral describes it as "partial 16S ribosomal RNA". It matches the Rfam family "Bacterial small subunit ribosomal RNA", at positions 524 to 776 of the family's 1533-position model. The record is from RNAcentral.